AGUGUCUGCCUCCCACACACAAACCCAGCGAGUCCUCUGCUGAAUGCAUGUGGUUCAGCCAGAAACCCUACUGAGAAAUGCUAAAUAAUUACUAUCUGCUGCUUCUGGUCCACUGAAAAAUGUCAGUGUUUUCUAGGUUUGCAUUGGUCCGAAGAAGGCCUGGUCCUGAGAUGAUGAUCUUCCAGUACCUGCUGCUUUCACUCUGAAGUGAAGGUGAAGCUAAAGGUCACAGUCCACAGAUCCCUAUUGGACAGAAAGUACUGAUGCCCUUCUACCUAAUUCCAGACGCUUAACUGAGAAUUUUACAUGAGUCUCCAGAGAGUAUGUGAGUUUGGAUAGUAACAAUAAGGACCCAAUUCUGCCUGGAGAAGCAGAAUUAAUGUUGACUCACUGGUUCAGCUUUGCUGCUUACCUCAUUCCUGUUUAUGAGAGUUUUAAUUGCACUUGCAGUGAUUAAUUUCACGCAGGAAUUAUCUUGGUGUAGAAAGCAAAGGUAUUUUUACCCUUUUCCUUUGAAGACUGAGCAUGUUUUCAUUUGAUGAGCUGAAGUUUCCAGAUGCAUGAGGUGUCCCCCUGUGGCCCACGAGGACUAGCACUGGAGACUGCAAUUACUGCAGCAGAAAACCCUUGUUGCAGCCAGGCUGGGAAAAAGGGAGAGGGUUCAUUGCAAUAUAUAACACUUGACCCAAGAGGACCAGGUGUGGAGAUUGUAAUGGAUCAGCCUUUGAAUUUUUGUAACUCAUGUUUGAGUUGAACAUUGCAGGAAUUGCUGUAGUAGGAAUCAGCUGCACCAAUGGAGAACAAGCCUAAAGCAGUGCAAGUGCAGCAGUGACCCACCCUGGGCUGGUUUUGGUGCCCAGUAACUCCAUGUAACACACACCUCUCCUGUGGUGGUGCUGAGUGACCACCAGAACAAAGGGAGCCCAAAGUCAAGGACUAAAUGAACCCUAUGGAUAUUUAUGGACACUUUGCAGGUGUGGUCCACAGACAAAGGGAAUGGCAUGUAUGAUAUCAAGGGAAAGGAAGUGGGGAGGUGAUUAAUGGGAUUGUACUGAAAAGUGUGAGACCUGAGUGUGAUGUAAGUGGUAUGGAAUAAGGGGGUGGAUAAUGUGCUGGUUUGGGCUGGGGUAGAUUUGUUUUUCCCCUGCAGCUUGAAUUCCACCGAGUAACAUCUCUGGAUACUGUUAGCAUGGACUAACUCUUCUUCCAUGUGGCUGAUGAGCACUGGCCAGUUACAAUGCUGGGUACUCUAGUACAGUUUACUACUGGUAGCAAAUCCAUAAACAAAAAUUUUAAGGAAGGGUUAGCAAUAGGAUCAAAAUAUAUCACAUUACUGGUCCAAACAGGUAAAAACACCAUCUAACUUAUUGAGUUAGAAUACCAAAAAUACUGGUUUUAAUUGUCAAUGUAUUUGUUUUCAGAAAACAUAAAAGGGUGAAUAUGGCCUUGAUAUCCCCUUUUGCCCUCAGUUUCUGAAGCUGCCCUGAGUAGGCUAAAGUGCUUGUGUGUGAGAGGAAAUGGAUGACAAAUAAUUACAGCUAUAGGAAACUGAAGACAAAAGAGGCAAAAAAAGGACUUUUAUUUCUAACAGUCCUUGAAUUUCUGACUGUAUGUAAUGGCACUAGGAGAGAUAAGCGAGCUAUAGAGGCAUCUCCAUUGGGAUACUGGAAUUGAAAUGCUAUUGUUUGGAAUACAAGCUCCUGGACAGGCUUCAGUUUGCUCACCAUAUUUGGUUUCAGUGACUUUUUCUAGCAAAGAGUGGUGCCCUUCUGAAGGUACAGAGCAUGACAUCAAGUAUAAUUCAAAGUGAUGGGAAGAAGAUGUUCUUUAUGGUAUAUAAUAAAUAACAGGACUAUGCCUGGCUCUAUUGUGGAUAGUUAUAUUUAUGAUCCAGUAGAUGUCCCUGACAUGUAUGUUUGUGGGGUAUUUUUUUGGAGGAAGCAAUUUUUUACCUAAAUGGAAAUUACUCUUACUGGAUAAUACUGAAGGAAAAAUAGAAAUGAAGUUUCCUUUUUUAUUCUUCAUUAGAUAAAGCAUCUUAUAGCUGAGCAUUUCUUAGCUGGAAAGGAGAUUCUUAAAGUUUUAAGCUCCUGAGGAAAGUAAUUAAAAAUAUUGUUUAACAUGAAGUGUGUGAGUUGCAUUUUGAAUUCUGUAGGUUUACCUGAAUUUGUAUAUUUAUUUAAGUGCAUGUUUGGACUGGGACCAAAGCUCUGUGGGGAAGGAUUUGUUGCUUUCUUUUGUUGCUAUUACUGCAGUGAAAAUAUUAAGUAGUAGUAAUUAUUGUGCUGUUUCACGGUCAUUAUCAAAAUAAAACUUUAUGUAGCUUGUUGACUGCUUUGGUUAAAAAGCAUC
Molecule: long non-coding RNA, 2352 nt
Organism: Passer domesticus (house sparrow)
Lineage: Eukaryota; Metazoa; Chordata; Aves; Passeriformes; Passeridae
Exons: 5
Source: RefSeq, a predicted model, not a curated record